Molecule: non-coding RNA, 675 nt
Organism: Pelobates cultripes (western spadefoot toad)
Lineage: Eukaryota; Metazoa; Chordata; Amphibia; Anura; Pelobatidae
Source: the annotation of a GenBank genome assembly
GUAGAUUGAUUUGGGAGGGUGGGGGAUUAAACAAUUGCAGCAUAAUGCAACAUAAUGAAGCUGAGGACAGAGCUUGGUAGCAACAAUCUGCAUUGAGCUAGAGAGUUAAAAGAAAGGGAUUGAAAGCAGAAAUAAAAUUGAGGGAGAGACUGUCACCAGAUUAUUCCCUAAAAUCAGAAUUCUCAUACAUUUUACCAUACCUGAAGGUAAGCGAGCUGAGCAGGUAAAAACUCUCAAAGUCAACCUCAACAAUUAUAUUUGAAAUAACCCAUAUGAGGACCCGCUUACAUUAAAACAAGAUUAUAAGUGUUUACAUAAACUUUCAAUGUUUGAAAGAAAAAAAUAGCAGUCUCUGGACAUGGUAAAGUAAAAACCAUACAGUCCAGUUGCAAUGUUUGGUUCAGGGCAGGGCUGCCAUCAGGCCAUGAGAACCAUGAGAGCUAUCAUGGGCCUGGACUGCUCUGGGAGUUCCGGGCCCGGCAUUCACUAUGUGCACAUAUUUAGACAUUAUCUCUGUAUGUGUCAACCUGCGUGCCUCUAGUUACCUGUAUACUGCAGAGAGGGCCCAGCACACUCCCGCAAGAGUUAAAGAGAAUCAGCUGGAAAGUGAAGACAGAGUGUGCUGGACCCACUCUGCAGUAUACAGGUAGCCGGGGGCCUGCACCAUGCCACUAG